UGGGGGAUAUUGCACAAUGGGCGAAAGCCUGAUGCAGCGACGCCGCGUGGGGGAUGAAGGCUUUCGGGUUGUAAACCUCUUUCGCUAUCGAACAAGGCCCGCUUAGGGUGGGUUGAGGGGAGGUGGAGAAGAAGCGCCGGCUAACUACGUGCCAGCAGCCGCGGUAAUACGUAGGGCGCGAGCGUUGUCCGGAAUUAUUGGACGUAAAGGGCUUGUAGGCUGCUUGUUGCGCCUGCUGUGAAAACGCGGGGCUUAACUUCGCGCGUGCAGUGGGUACGGGCAGGCUUGAGUGUGGUAGGGGUGACUGGAAUUCCAGGUGUCGCGGUGGAAUGCGCAGAUAUCUGGAGGAACACCGAUGGCGAAGGCAGGUCACUGGGCCAUUACUGACGCUGAGGAGCGAAAGCAUGGGUAGCGAACAGG
This 420-nucleotide ribosomal RNA is filed under the name bacterium. Its description in RNAcentral is "partial 16S ribosomal RNA". It matches the Rfam family "Bacterial small subunit ribosomal RNA", at positions 355 to 776 of the family's 1533-position model. The record is from RNAcentral.